GAGAGCGCAGUACAACAAAGAGUUGUAUGCUACGUUCGGGAAGGAUGAAUCGCUCCCGAAAAGGAAUCGAUUAAUUCUCUCCCAAUUGGUUGGACCGUAGGUGCGAUGAUUUACUUCAU
Non-coding RNA from Capsicum annuum, 119 nucleotides. The record is from Rfam. NCBI's taxonomy places the organism in Eukaryota, Viridiplantae, Streptophyta, Magnoliopsida, Solanales, Solanaceae.